UACAGAGGUCUCAAGCGUUGUUCGGAUUCAUUGGGCGUAAAGGGUGCGUAGGCGGCGCGGUAAGUCGGGUGUGAAAUCUCGGAGCUUAACUCCGAAACUGCAUUCGAUACUGCCGUGCUUGAGGACUGGAGAGGAUGGUGGAAUUCCCAGUGUAGAGGUGAAAUUCGUAGAUAUUGGGAAGAACACCGGUGGCGAAGGCGGCCAUCUGGACCGUUUCUGACGCUGAGGCGCGAAAGCGUGGGGAGCAAACAGG
This 253-nucleotide ribosomal RNA is filed under the name uncultured bacterium. RNAcentral's name for it is "partial 16S ribosomal RNA". It matches the Rfam family "Bacterial small subunit ribosomal RNA", at positions 524 to 776 of the family's 1533-position model. The record is from RNAcentral.